This 74-nucleotide transfer RNA is filed under the name Betaproteobacteria bacterium. RNAcentral's name for it is "tRNA-Glu". Lineage: Bacteria; Pseudomonadati; Pseudomonadota; Betaproteobacteria. The record is from RNAcentral.
GGCCUCGUAGAUUAAUGUAGAUCCACUGCCCCUCAAGCAGUUGCGUGCCGGUUCGUUGCCGGUCGGGGCCACCA